AUUGAACGCUGGCGGCAGGCCUAACACAUGCAAGUCGAGCGAGUGGCGGACGGGUGAGUAAUGUCUGGGAAACUGCCCGAUGGAGGGGGAUAACUACUGGAAACGGUAGCUAAUACCGCAUACCAUCGGAUGUGCCAAGAUGGGAUUAGCUUGUCGUUGAGGUAACGGCUCACCUAGGCGACGAUCCCUAGCUGGUCUGAGAGGAUGACCAGCCACAAUGGCACGAAGACCCGGUCACGACUCCUACGGGAGGCAGCAGUGGGGAAUAUUGCACAAUGGGCGCAAGCCUGAUGCAGCCAUGCCGCGUGUAUGAAGAAGGCCUUCCGGUUGUAAAGUACUUUCAGCGGGGAGGCGUUACCCGCAGAAGAAGCACCGGCUAACUCCGUGCCAGCAGCCGCGGUAAUAC
Molecule: ribosomal RNA, 406 nt
Filed under: uncultured bacterium
Lineage: Bacteria
Description: partial 16S ribosomal RNA
Rfam family: Bacterial small subunit ribosomal RNA
Source: RNAcentral